AUUCAUAAGCCUGUGGACAUGAUCAUGGUCAAUGAGUCCAAAGAUCUGCUCCGUUCAGACGCCAGCUCUUCCCCUGCUCUCUCUUCGUCUCUCCGCUCGGCUCUUCGAAUUCUCUGAUGCCCGUUUGCUUUCGGGACGAUUACUUUUAUUUUGAAGAUGUUUACGGGAGACCAGGAAUUUAUCCCUCAGGAGGAAUGUUUUCAGGAACGAGGGCCGACUGUCUCAUUUAGCAACCUGCACUACAGUAUUCAGGAGACAAGAUGCUGCCGCAACACAGGGCUUGAAAAGCAGAUCCUGAAAGAUGUGAGUGGUAUCAUGAGACCUGGGAUGAAUGCCAUCAUGGGCGCAACAGGAAGCGGAAAAACUUCACUGUUGGAUGUCUUGGCGGGAAGAAAAGACCCUGCAGGGCUGCGUCAAGGACAGGUGUUGGUGGAUGGACAGGCUGUGACGUCUGAGCUCAGACUCUGCUCUGCUUACGUGGUUCAGGACGACGUCCUGAUGGGUACCUUAUCUGUGAGGGAGAAUCUGCUGUUCAGCGCUAACCUGCGUCUCAACCCAAAAGAAUUCUCCACCGCAGAUAAACACAGCAGAGUGAACGCCAUCCUUCAAGACCUGGGGCUCACUGACUGUGCAAACACCAAGAUUGGCACAGCGUUUCUUCGUGGUGUUUCAGGAGGUGAGAGAAAGAGGUGCAGCAUCGGGAUGGAGCUCAUCACCUCUCCUUCUCUGCUCUUUCUGGAUGAACCAACCACAGGCCUGGAUUCCAACACUGCAAACUCCAUCAUCAGUCUGCUGCACAAUCUGUCCAGGAGAGGUAAGACCGUCAUCUUCUCCAUCCACCAACCACGCUACUCCAUCUUCAGACUUUUCGAUCAUCUGACCCUGAUGCACAAAGGAGAAGUGGUGUACGCCGGCGCUGCAGACAAGGCACUGGAUUACUUCUCACAACUGGGUUACCAGAUUGAGCCCUUCAACAACCCAGCUGACUUCUUCAUGGAUGUCACCAGUGGAGCAGCAACAUCUUCAAUCAUGGCACUCGCUUCAGAUAUUUCUAAAAACCCUUUGGCGACACAAUACCAAGAGUCCUCACUUUGUCGGAGCGUCCUGAAGGAACUGGUCCGUAUAAACCAGGACGCUGUGGACGGACCCAAAGGUCAAGGUCAACCCGACUAUCCCACUCCCUUUCUCUACCAGAUGCGUGUGGUGUGUGGCCGGACUUUGAGGAACCUGCUGAGGAACCCUCACACCUCUUACGCCCAGCUGCUCAUCACCGUUAUUUUUGCCCUCCUGGUGGGGGUGGUUUACUUCCAGAUGCCCCUGACUCUGCCUGAAGCCAUACAGAACAGGAGUGGUGCCUUCUUCUUCCUCAUCAUUAACAUGGUGUUUGCCAACCUCUCAGCUCUGGAACUGUUCAUCAAUGAACGUGUCAUCUUCAUUCACGAAAACUCCAGCGGCUAUUACCGAACCUCAGUCUACUUCCUGUCUAAGAUCUUCGCUGAUCUCAUUCCCAACCGCCUGAUUCCCAUUCUUGUAUUUUCAUCCAUCACCUACUUCAUGAUGGGGCUGAGAGCUGGCGCGGAGCCUUUCCUGUGUUUUGUUCUGACCAUGGUUCAGGUCAGUCUGGCAGGAGUCAGUCUGGCCUUCUUCAUCUCAGCCAGUGUUUCCACCUUUGCCAUGGCAAACAUCUUCAUGGCUCUGCCUCUGGUCUUCAUGAUGGUUUUUGGAGGGUUCUUGGUCAGUCUCAACAACAUGCUGAGCUGGCUGUCGUGGCUGCAGUGGAUCAGCAUCUUUAAAUACGGACUGAACGCUGCGUUCAUCAAUGAAAUGAAAGGACAAGUUUUCUACAGCAACCGCACCAUCGUUCCAGGAGAGGUGUUCUUGGACCUCCAGGAUCUUGACUACUCAGCUUGGGGGUUUUGGCAGAACCAGUUGGCUCUGUUUGGAAUCAUAACUGUGUGUCUGCUGCUGGCCUACGUCCAGCUGAGACGAAUCAACCGCUGGAAAUAACUGUCUUUUUAGAAACUGGGUUUUUUUUUAUUGCACAUGAACUUUUAUAGUUGCACUUUCUAUCACUUCAAACCGACCAACACACGUGCACUAACCGACCAACACACGUGCACUAACCGACCAACACACGUGCACUAACAUGCGACACUUGGCUGGAUCACGAGCUGCUGCUAAGCUCAGUUGGUUUGUGCACAUGACCAUGAAUGGCAGUCAGUGAACCAGGGGUUAAUCCUCCAGAAAGCUGCUUACAGAGUGACUCAUUAAAGUAAACAGAAAAAGA
This is an RNA transcript of Cynoglossus semilaevis (tongue sole), 2287 nucleotides long. It is a transcript of the gene named ATP-binding cassette, sub-family G (WHITE), member 2b, with no coding region annotated. The record is from RefSeq and is a predicted model, not a curated record. The transcript is spliced from 16 exons. Lineage: Eukaryota; Metazoa; Chordata; Actinopteri; Pleuronectiformes; Cynoglossidae.